GAGUUUGAUCAUGGCUCAGAGCGAACGCUGGCGGCAUGCUUAACACAUGCAAGUCGCACGGGCAGGGGUAACUCUGUCAGUGGCGGACGGGGUGAGUAACGCGUAGGUAUCUAUCCUUGGGUGGGGGACAACUGUGGGAAACUACAGCUAAUACCGCAUGAUAACUGAGGUUUAAAGGCGCAAGUCGCCUGGGGAGGAGCCUGCGUACGAUUAGCUAGUUGGUGGGGUAAAGGCCUACCAAGGCGACGAUCGUUAGCUGGUCUGAGAGGAUGAUCAGCUACAUUGGGACUGAGACACGGCCCAAACUCCUACGGGAGGCAGCAGUGGGGAAUAUUGGACAAUGGGCGAAAGCCUGAUCCAGCAAUGCCGCGUGUGUGAAGAAGGUCUUCGGAUUGUAAAGCACUUUCGACGGGGACGAUGAUGACGGUACCCGUAGAAGAAGCCCCGGCUAACUUCGUGCCAGCAGCCGCAGUAAU
This 476-nucleotide ribosomal RNA is filed under the name uncultured bacterium. Its description in RNAcentral is "bacterial SSU rRNA". It matches the Rfam family "Bacterial small subunit ribosomal RNA", at positions 9 to 524 of the family's 1533-position model. The record is from RNAcentral.